GUGCUCGCUUCGGCAGCACAAGUACUAAAACUGGAACGACACAGAGAAGAUCAGCACGGCCCUGCGCAGGGACGACACGCAAACUCGUGAAGCGUUCCAUGUUUAA
Molecule: small nuclear RNA, 106 nt
Organism: Chionomys nivalis (European snow vole)
Lineage: Eukaryota; Metazoa; Chordata; Mammalia; Rodentia; Cricetidae
Source: RefSeq, a predicted model, not a curated record